GGAUGGUGGGGUGUGAGGGGACACCGGGGUGUGGGGGAUACCGGGGUGUGAGGGGUUAACGGGGUGUGAGGUGACACCAAGGCCCUGAGGGGACACCGCGGUGUGGGGGAACUCCAAGCUUUCAUGGGACACCGGGGCUGUCAGGGGACAUAGUGGCUCUGAGGGGACACAGGUGGCAACAAGGCUGUGCUGAACUGCCUCACUUCACUGCCACGCCCCUGCACAACCUCUUCAGUUCCUGUAAUUCCCACAUCCCAUGCAGCAUAUCCGACAGGUACCAAAGCCAGGUUUAGGAGUCCAGUGUUUCCUGGAUCCUUUGGAGCCCUUCCUAGAAAUCAGCCUGGCCUUUGCCACCUCUCCUCUGGUGUUGGGAAGGUCAGGGACCUGCUGCCUGUGUCCUGCUGCAGGGUCUGCCCUGAGCAUGUGCCAGCCCAGUAGUUUUUCAGCAGAGUUCCCACUUCUGAUGUGUUUGCAAAAAUACACUGCUGUUAAUUCUUA
Long non-coding RNA from Neopelma chrysocephalum (saffron-crested tyrant-manakin), 498 nucleotides. RefSeq lists it as uncharacterized. The record is from RefSeq and is a predicted model, not a curated record. Lineage: Eukaryota; Metazoa; Chordata; Aves; Passeriformes; Pipridae. The transcript is spliced from 3 exons.